RNAcentral lists this transfer RNA (72 nucleotides) under Patescibacteria group bacterium. RNAcentral describes it as "tRNA-Arg". It matches the Rfam family "tRNA". From Rfam's summary of the family: Transfer RNA (tRNA) molecules are approximately 80 nucleotides in length. Their secondary structure includes four short double-helical elements and three loops (D, anti-codon, and T loops). Further hydrogen bonds mediate the characteristic L-shaped molecular structure. tRNAs have two regions of fundamental functional importance: the anti-codon, which is responsible for specific mRNA codon recognition, and the 3' end, to which the tRNAs corresponding amino acid is attached (by aminoacyl-tRNA synthetases). tRNAs cope with the degeneracy of the genetic code in two manners: having more than one tRNA (with a specific anti-codon) for a particular amino acid; and 'wobble' base-pairing, i.e. permitting non-standard base-pairing at the 3rd anti-codon position. The record is from RNAcentral.
GUCCCUGUGGUUCAAUGGAUAAAACACCUCCCUCCGGAGGAGGAAAUGGCUGUUCGAAUCAGCCCAGGGACA